Molecule: ribosomal RNA, 228 nt
Filed under: uncultured bacterium
Lineage: Bacteria
Description: partial 16S ribosomal RNA
Rfam family: Bacterial small subunit ribosomal RNA
Source: RNAcentral
UGCGUAGGCGGAUUUAUAAGUCAGUGGUGAAAUCCUGCAGCUUAACUGUAGAACUGCCAUUGAUACUGUAGAUCUUGAGUACGGUUGAGGUGGGCGGAAUGUGUCAUGUAGCGGUGAAAUGCUUAGAUAUGACACAGAACACCAAUUGCGAAGGCAGCUCGCUAAACCGUUACUGACGCUGAGGCACGAAAGCGUGGGGAGCGAACAGGAUUAGAUACCUUGGUAGUC